UUCUCUCUUCUUUCUCUCUCUACUCUCUCUACUCUUUGUAAACUUCUCUCCGCUCUCUACUCUCUCUCUAGAGUCUUCCCCCUUGAGCCACCCUUCCCCGCAGUGAACCACCAUUAAAAGCCCCACAUUCCCCAUAUUUUGGUUGAUCUUCAACCAAAAUCUUCAAAUGUUCAUCAAUAUUUUUCCAGAACCCCUUCUACCUUUCAACUUGGGUUUCCCAGAUGAACCCUAGGGUUCAUACGAUGAACCCUAAACAAAUUUUUCAACCCGGACCCCCCCCCCCCCACAACCGAAGAACCCUAACUGGGUUCGAAUGAACCCUAAUAUUUUCCAGAUGAACCCUAACCCUACCUUAACCCUAAAAAUUUCCAAAAAACUAAAUUCUUCCCAAAUCGAGCCUUAAUCCUUGGCCGAUUCAAAGAUCGGCCUUUCCCAAACCCGCAAUACCUCGGACUUAACUCUGAAAUCUCUAACCUUAAUCCCUUUCAAUUAACCCCACAAUCAAUAACCACAAUAAUCCAAAACAACGAUUGGCAAUGAAAAAUAGCAUUUAAUUUCAAUGGGGGUUUAGAAACUAACCGACAAGAAGGAGAAAUUCCUUGGUAAAGGUAAAGUAAUUCUUCCGAUCUCCUUUGAUUCUAUUUCUCUUUUCCGUCUCCUUUCUAACUUCUUCUUCUCCUUUCUCUGAUGUGAGGUCCUUCUGGAUGGUUACGGAGGCUGAGCUUAGAGAACUUAGGGUUUCAAUGUGAAACCCUAAUUCUAUUUUGAUUCAAGCUUUAGUGGGUGGAUCCAGAUUGCAGCAAUUGAGAAUUUUAGAGGGUUUUGUUCCGUCCUUAAUUCAUUGAUUUAUUUUGUAUUUAUAGAUCAAAUUAGGUCUCAGUGUUUUAAUUAAAUUGGUUGCUUUAGGAAGUUCUUGAAUCUGAUUUGUUGUAAUUUGAUUUGAUUGGGUUUAGAAAUAGAUUAGGGUUUUGAAAUUUGAUUGUAUCUGGUCCGAAUUUCCCUAAAAAUCAUAUUGUAUGAUGUAUCUCUAAUAAAUUUUGGAAAGUUUUGAUUGAAUUUUGAAA
This 1064-nucleotide long non-coding RNA is filed under the name Lathyrus oleraceus (garden pea). RNAcentral's name for it is "Pisum sativum (pea) long non-coding RNA (PSAT_LNC033841)". Lineage: Eukaryota; Viridiplantae; Streptophyta; Magnoliopsida; Fabales; Fabaceae. The record is from RNAcentral.